GCAGAAGCGCGGUCUGUCGCUUCAUGCCGGGCGCAUGAAGAGGAAAGUCCGGGCAACACAGAGCACCAUAUUUGUUAACGGCAAGCCGGCGGCGACGUCGGGGUUAAUGUGACAGAAAAGAACCGCCGGAAACUCCUAAAGGCUUCCGGCAAGGGUGAAAAGGUGGGGUAAGAGCCCACCGGGUGUCGUGGCGACACGACAUGCCGCACAACCUAUGGGUUGCAAGGCCAAAUACACCGGCAAUCAAGGGCUGCUCGUCCAUUGCCGGGGGGUAGGCUGCUCGGCGCAUAGCGCCGGAGCCGGCUGGCAACAGCCGGUCAAGAUAAAUGACAGGCAUGGAUCUCGUGCCCUAUGCAAGGGAUUCAUACAUAACCCGGCUUACAACGCAUCUGCAAAA
RNAcentral lists this RNase P RNA (397 nucleotides) under Muribaculaceae bacterium. RNAcentral's name for it is "RNase P RNA component class A". It matches the Rfam family "Bacterial RNase P class A". Rfam says of the family: Ribonuclease P (RNase P) is a ubiquitous endoribonuclease, found in archaea, bacteria and eukarya as well as chloroplasts and mitochondria. Its best characterised activity is the generation of mature 5'-ends of tRNAs by cleaving the 5'-leader elements of precursor-tRNAs. Cellular RNase Ps are ribonucleoproteins. The record is from RNAcentral. Lineage: Bacteria; Pseudomonadati; Bacteroidota; Bacteroidia; Bacteroidales; Muribaculaceae.